This 449-nucleotide ribosomal RNA is filed under the name uncultured bacterium. RNAcentral's name for it is "bacterial SSU rRNA". It matches the Rfam family "Bacterial small subunit ribosomal RNA", at positions 355 to 796 of the family's 1533-position model. The record is from RNAcentral.
UCGAGAAUCAUUCGCAAUGGGCGAAAGCCUGACGAUGCGACGCCGUGUGAGCGAAGAAGGCCUUAGGGUCGUAAAGCUCUUUCGCUUGGGAACAAGAAAGGCUGGCUAACAUCCAGCUAAUUUGAGGGUACCAGGUAAAGAAGCACCGGCUAACUCCGUGCCAGCAGCUGCGGUAAUACGGAGGGUGCAAGCAUUAAUCGGAUUUAUUGGGCGUAAAGGGCGCGUAGGCGGGGAUAUAAGUCAGACGUGAAAUCCCGGGGCUCAACCCCGGAACAGCAUUUGAAACUAUAUCUCUAGAGGGUAGGCGGAGAAAACGGAAUUCCACAAGUAGCGGUGAAAUGCGUAGAUAUGUGGAAGAACACCAGUGGCGAAGGCGGUUUUCUAGCUUACUCCUGACGCUAAAGCGCGAAAGCAAGGGGAUCAAACAGGAUUAGAUACCCGGGUAGUCC